AACGAGCGCUGGCGGCAUGCCUAACACAUGCAAGUCGAACGAAGCCUUCGGGCUUAGUGGCGCACGGGUGCGUAACGCGUGGGAAUCUGCCCUUUGGUUCGGAAUAACAGUUGGAAACGACUGCUAAUACCGGAUGAUGACGAAAGUCCAAAGAUUUAUCGCCAGAGGAUGAGCCCGCGUAGGAUUAGCUAGUUGGUGUGGUAAAGGCGCACCAAGGCGACGAGCCUUAGCUGGGCUGAGAGGAUGAUCAGCCACACUGGGACUGAGACACGGCCCAGACUCCUACGGGAGGUAGCAGUGGGGAAUAUUGGACAAUGGGCGAAAGCCUGUUCCAGCCAUGCCGCGUGAGUGAUGAAGCCCCUAGGGUUGUAAAGCUCUUUUCCCCGGAAUGAUAAUGCCAGUACCGGGAGAAUAAGCCCCGGCUAACUCCGUGCCAGCCGCCGCCGUAA
Molecule: ribosomal RNA, 449 nt
Filed under: uncultured bacterium
Lineage: Bacteria
Description: partial 16S ribosomal RNA
Rfam family: Bacterial small subunit ribosomal RNA
Source: RNAcentral